GGGGCUAUCAUCAGAGACCUAGUGAAGAGCCUGAAGCCCCACUCCUACCUAAACAGUAAGAAGACACCCCUUCUUCAGCUGUGUGUCAAGAGUGGUCUGGGGCCCCAGCAGUGGGAGACCUGUAACUUCAGGCACCACUGGAAGAACUUAAGCCCAGAGAAGGAAGCAAGGAAGCGGCUCUUCCACUCCCCAGCGCCCCUCCCCGUACAGUGCAUCAAAACCUGGAGGGUUGCGGGACAAUCUCAAGAGCAGCGCGCAGACAUCUGAACCGUGUUUCAGGAAUCAUGCCUUGGAUUCACCACAGUCGGCUAAAACCAGCGGCCCAGGAUCAGUGGAUCAGUCAAUAAGACCCAGACCAUCCAACCCGGCUGAUCCUGUGACAAGAUCAUGUAACUAGUAGAAAUAACAGUAGCCCUGCUGUGGCCACUCCGGAGGCUGGCCAGUCUAUGUACGGCGGAAGCUUGAGGAAAACUGUAAGCCCUGCUGUAGUCACACAACCAGAAGCUGACUAGCCUACGCGUGGCUGAAGCUUGAGGAGUCAUCAUCAAAUGAGUAGAUGGUUUCACUGCAUCACCCAGGCUAGAGUGCAGUGUCUCCAUCAUGGCUCACUUCAGCCUCAACCUCCUGAGCUUAAGCAAUCCUCCCAUCUCAGCUUCCUGAUUAGCUGGGACUACACGCAUGUGCCACCAUGUUCAGAGCCAAGAACUCUGGAAUAAGAAGAAGACGACGAAGGGGGGGGGUGGAGGAGGAGGAGAAGGAGGAGGAGAAGAGAAGGAGAAGGAGGAGAAGGAGAAAGAGAAGAAGGAGAAGGAGAAGGAGAAGAAGGAGAAGGAGGAGGAGGGCCGGGUGCAGUGGCUCACGCCUGUAAUCCCAGCACUUUGGGAGGCCGAGGAGGGCGGAUCAUGAGGUCAGGAGAUCCAGACCAUCCUGACUAACAUGGUGAAACCCCGUCUCUACUACAAAUACAAAAAAUUAGCCGGGCAUGGUGGCGGGCGUCUGGGCCACAGAGCGAGACUCCGUCUCAAGAAGAAGGAGAAGGAGAAGAAGAAGGAGAAGGAGAAGGAGAAGGGAAAAAAGAAUCCUUAUCAUUAAUGCAAGUGGAAGGAAACUCUUCACCAAAGAAUUGAUCACAUCACGAAAGGUGAAAUCAUUGCGGAAUUGAUUGCUUAAAUAUAUAAUUUGAAUCUGGAUUUAAAAAUAAUAAAUGUUAGUUUUUUCU
This is a long non-coding RNA of Symphalangus syndactylus (siamang), 1219 nucleotides long. RefSeq lists it as uncharacterized. The record is from RefSeq and is a predicted model, not a curated record. Lineage: Eukaryota; Metazoa; Chordata; Mammalia; Primates; Hylobatidae.